CGAGGAAAAGAAAUCAACCGAGAUUCCGAAAGUAGCGGCGAGCGAAAUUGGACUAGCCCUUAAGCUUUACACGCGUUAGACGAACGGUCUGGAAAGUCCGACGAUACAGGGUGAUAGUCCCGUAGUUGACGACGUGUGUUCAGUGAAAUCGAGUAGGGCGGGACACGUGAUAUCCUGUCUGAAUAUGGGGGGACCAUCCUCCAAGGCUAAAUACUACUGACUGACCGAUAGUGAACCAGUACCGUGAGGGAAAGGCGAAAAGAACCCCUGUGAGGGGAGUGAAAUAGAACCUGAAACCGUGUACGUACAAGCAGUAGGAGCAGGCUUUGUCCUGUGACUGCGUACCUUUUGUAUAAUGGGUCAGCGACUUAUAUUCAGUGGCAAGGUUAACCAUCUAGGGGAGCCGUAGGGAAACCGAGUCUUAACUGGGCGUUCAGUCUCUGGAUAUAGACCCGAAACCAGGUGAUCUAGCCAUGGGCAGGUUGAAGGUUGAGUAACAUCAACUGGAGGACCGAACCGACUAAUGUUGAAAAAUUAGCGGAUGACUUGUGGCUAGGGGUGAAAGGCCAAUCAAACCUGGAGAUAGCUGGUUCUCCCCGAAAGCUAUUUAGGUAGCGCCUCGGACGAAUACUACUGGGGGUAGAGCACUGUUAAGGCUAGGGGGUCAUCCCGACUUACCAACCCUUUGCAAACUCCGAAUACCAGUAAGUACUAUCCGGGAGACACACGGCGGGUGCUAACGUCCGUCGUGGAGAGGGAAACAACCCAGACCGCCAGCUAAGGUCCCAAAUUACUACUAAGUGGGAAACGAUGUGGGAAGGCUCAGACAGCCAGGAUGUUGGCUUAGAAGCAGCCAUCAUUUAAAGAAAGCGUAAUAGCUCACUGGUCGAGUCGGCCUGCGCGGAAGAUGUAACGGGGCUAAGUAGUAAACCGAAGCUGCGGCAAUGUGCUUUUGCACAUUGGGUAGGGGAGCGUUCUGUAAGCGGUUGAAGGUGUGUGGUAACGCAUGCUGGACGUAUCAGAAGUGCGAAUGCUGACAUGAGUAACGAUAAAGGGGGUGAAAAACCUCCUCGCCGGAAGACCAAGGGUUCCUGUCCAACGUUAAUCGGGGCAGGGUAAGUCGACCCCUAAGGCGAGGCCGAAAGGCGUAGUCGAUGGGAAACGGGUUAAUAUUCCCGUACUUCUUACAAUUGCGAUGGGGGGACGGAGAAGGCUAGGUGGGCCUGGCGACGGUUGUCCAGGUUCAAGUGCGUAGGCUUAAGAGUUAGGUAAAUCCGGCUCUUUUUAAGGCUGAGACACGACGUCGAGCAUCUACGGAUGUGAAGUCAUUGAUGCCAUGCUUCCAGGAAAAGCCUCUAAGCUUCAGAUUGUAAGGAAUCGUACCCCAAACCGACACAGGUGGUCGGGUAGAGAAUACCAAGGCGCUUGAGAGAACUCGGGUGAAGGAACUAGGCAAAAUGGUACCGUAACUUCGGGAGAAGGUACGCUCUCGACGGUGAAGUCCCUCGCGGAUGGAGCUAUUGAGAGUCGCAGAUACCAGGUGGCUGCAACUGUUUAUUAAAAACACAGCACUGUGCAAAAUCGUAAGAUGACGUAUACGGUGUGACGCCUGCCCGGUGCCGGAAGGUUAAUUGAUGGGGUUAGACUUCGGUCGAAGCUCUUGAUCGAAGCCCCGGUAAACGGCGGCCGUAACUAUAACGGUCCUAAGGUAGCGAAAUUCCUUGUCGGGUAAGUUCCGACCUGCACGAAUGGCGUAAUGAUGGCCACGCUGUCUCCACCCGAGACUCAGUGAAAUUGAAAUCGCUGUGAAGAUGCAGUGUACCCGCGGCUAGACGGAAAGACCCCGUGAACCUUUACUACAGCUUGGCACUGAACAUUGACCCUACAUGUGUAGGAUAGGUGGGAGGCUUUGAAGCACGUACGCCAGUAUGUGUGGAGCCGUCCUUGAAAUACCACCCUUGUAGUGUUGAUGUUCUAACGUCGACCCCUUAUCGGGGUUGCGGACAGUGCCUGGUGGGUAGUUUGACUGGGGCGGUCUCCUCCCAAAGAGUAACGGAGGAGCACGAAGGUGGGCUAAUCACGGUUGGACAUCGUGAGGUUAGUGCAAUGGCAUAAGCCCGCUUGACUGCGAGAAUGACAAUUCGAGCAGGUGCGAAAGCAGGUCAUAGUGAUCCGGUGGUUCUGAAUGGAAGGGCCAUCGCUCAACGGAUAAAAGGUACUCCGGGGAUAACAGGCUGAUACCGCCCAAGAGUUCAUAUCGACGGCGGUGUUUGGCACCUCGAUGUCGGCUCAUCACAUCCUGGGGCUGAAGUCGGUCCCAAGGGUAUGGCUGUUCGCCAUUUAAAGUGGUACGCGAGCUGGGUUUAGAACGUCGUGAGACAGUUCGGUCCCUAUCUGCCGUGGGCGUUGGAAGAUUGAAGGGGGCUGCUCCUAGUACGAGAGGACCGGAGUGGACGAACCUCUGGUGUUCGGGUUGUGUCGCCAGACGCAUUGCCCGGUAGCUAAGUUCGGAAUCGAUAACCGCUGAAAGCAUCUAAGCGGGAAGCGAGCCCUGAGAUGAGUCUUCCCUGAUACUUUAAGUAUCCUAAAGGGUUGUCGGAGACUACGACGUUGAUAGGUCAGGUGUGUAAGUGCUGUGAGGCAUUGAGCUAACUGAUACUAAUUGCCCGUGAGGCUUAACCAUACAACACCCAAGGGGUUU
Molecule: ribosomal RNA, 2701 nt
Filed under: Vibrio parahaemolyticus
Lineage: Bacteria; Pseudomonadati; Pseudomonadota; Gammaproteobacteria; Vibrionales; Vibrionaceae
Description: bacterial LSU rRNA
Rfam family: Bacterial large subunit ribosomal RNA
Source: RNAcentral